RNAcentral lists this ribosomal RNA (301 nucleotides) under uncultured bacterium. RNAcentral describes it as "partial 16S ribosomal RNA". It matches the Rfam family "Bacterial small subunit ribosomal RNA", at positions 509 to 807 of the family's 1533-position model. The record is from RNAcentral.
CAGUAGCCACGGGAAAACGGAGGGUGCAAGCGUUAAUCGGAAUUACUGGGCGUAAAGCGUGCGUAGGCGGUUCGUUAAGUCUGUUGUGAAAGCCCCGGGCUCAACCUGGGAAUGGCAAUGGAUACUGGCGAGCUAGAGUGUGUCAGAGGAUGGUGGAAUUCCCGGUGUAGCGGUGAAAUGCGUAGAGAUCGGGAGGAACAUCAGUGGCGAAGGCGGCCAUCUGGGACAACACUGACGCUGAGGCACGAAAGCGUGGGGAGCAAACAGGAUUAGAUACCCGAGUAGUCCCUGUCUCUUAUAC